UGCCACAUUUGGUUAUUUUCGCUUUAUCACAAGCUGGGCCUGACAGCAAGGAACGGAAGCGCGCGCGCCCGCCCUGCGCUGGCUCUCCGAGGCGAAAAGGCACGUGCACCGCCGAGGUUUAUUAAUUACUAUGAAUAUGCAUUUGGGACACAAAAAGGAUAUCAAGAACAGUGUGAUAAACACUAAGAACUUAUCACCAGUUAAGCAAAUAGGUCAUGGCUAGUCCAACUUAAUCUCUCCUUCAAAGGUGACUAUAAGACUAAUUUUAGUGUUUAUCAUUGUUACCAG
This 288-nucleotide long non-coding RNA is filed under the name Chinchilla lanigera (long-tailed chinchilla). Its description in RNAcentral is "lncRNA (ENSCLAG00000026900.1)". The record is from RNAcentral. Lineage: Eukaryota; Metazoa; Chordata; Mammalia; Rodentia; Chinchillidae.